UACGUAGGGGGCUAGCGUUAUCCGGAAUUACUGGGCGUAAAGGGUGCGUAGGUGGUUUCUUAAGUCAGAGGUGAAAGGCUACGGCUCAACCGUAGUAAGCCUUUGAAACUGGGGAACUUGAGUGCAGGAGAGGAGAGUGGAAUUCCUAGUGUAGCGGUGAAAUGCGUAGAUAUUAGGAGGAACACCAGUUGCGAAGGCGGCUCUCUGGACUGUAACUGACACUGGGGCACGAAAGCGUGGGGAGCAAACAGG
RNAcentral lists this ribosomal RNA (252 nucleotides) under uncultured bacterium. RNAcentral describes it as "partial 16S ribosomal RNA". It matches the Rfam family "Bacterial small subunit ribosomal RNA", at positions 524 to 776 of the family's 1533-position model. The record is from RNAcentral.